AACUGAACUAGGUAGAGUGGACUAACAUCUGAGCCCUCAGUAGUACUGAACUAGGUAGAGUGGACUAACAUCUGAGCCCUCAGUAGUACUGAACUAGGUAGAGUGGACUAACAUCUGAGCCCUCAGUAGUACUGAACUAGGUAGAGUGGACUAACAUCUGAGCCCUCAGUAGUACUGAACUAGGUAGAGUGGACUGACAUCUGAGCCCUCAGUAGAACUGAACUAGGUAGAGUGGACUAACAUCUGAGCCCU
This is a long non-coding RNA of Oncorhynchus keta (chum salmon), 252 nucleotides long. RefSeq lists it as uncharacterized. The record is from RefSeq and is a predicted model, not a curated record. Lineage: Eukaryota; Metazoa; Chordata; Actinopteri; Salmoniformes; Salmonidae. The transcript has 3 exons.